This 30-nucleotide non-coding RNA is filed under the name Rattus norvegicus (Norway rat). The record is from RNAcentral. Lineage: Eukaryota; Metazoa; Chordata; Mammalia; Rodentia; Muridae.
UNGGUCACGGUUGCUAUUAUUUGCCUAAAU